Molecule: ribosomal RNA, 497 nt
Filed under: uncultured bacterium
Lineage: Bacteria
Description: partial 16S ribosomal RNA
Rfam family: Bacterial small subunit ribosomal RNA
Source: RNAcentral
GAUGAACGCUGGCGGCGUGCCUAAUACAUGCAAGUCGAGCGAACAGACGAGGAGCUUGCUCCUCUGACGUUAGCGGCGGACGGGUGAGUAACACGUGGAUAACCUACCUAUAAGACUGGGAUAACUUCGGGAAACCGGAGCUAAUACCGGAUAAUAUAUUGAACCGCAUGGUUCAAUAGUGAAAGACGGUUUUGCUGUCACUUAUAGAUGGAUCCGCGCCGCAUUAGCUAGUUGGUAAGGUAACGGCUUACCAAGGCAACGAUGCGUAGCCGACCUGAGAGGGUGAUCGGCCACACUGGAACUGAGACACGGUCCAGACUCCUACGGGAGGCAGCAGUAGGGAAUCUUCCGCAAAGGGCGAAAGCCUGACGGAGCAACGCCGCGUCAGUGAUGAAGGUCUUCGGAUCGUAAAACUCUGUUAUUAGGGAAGAACAAAUGUGUAAGUAACUAUGCACGUCUUGACGGUACCUAAUCAGAAAGCCACGGCUAACUACGUG